This 254-nucleotide ribosomal RNA is filed under the name uncultured bacterium. RNAcentral describes it as "partial 16S ribosomal RNA". It matches the Rfam family "Bacterial small subunit ribosomal RNA", at positions 524 to 776 of the family's 1533-position model. The record is from RNAcentral.
UACGGAGGGUGCAAGCGUUAUCCGGAUUCACUGGGUUUAAAGGGUGCGUAGGCGGGUCAGUAAGUCCGUGGUGAAAUCUCCAAGCUUAACUUGGAAACUGCCGUGGAUACUAUUGACCUUGAAUGUUGUGGAGGUUAGCGGAAUAUGUCAUGUAGCGGUGAAAUGCUUAGAUAUGACAUAGAACACCAAUUGCGAAGGCAGCUGGCUACACAAAUAUUGACGCUGAGGCACGAAAAGCGUGGGGAUCAAACAGG